UUUUGGAAAGAUGUAUCCUUUUGCUUACACUCAUCUUGCAGAAAUCAAUGCAUUUCUAACAGAUAUAUCCUUCUAUUUAUACCUGCCUUCCAGAAG
Molecule: long non-coding RNA, 96 nt
Organism: Haliotis rubra (blacklip abalone)
Lineage: Eukaryota; Metazoa; Mollusca; Gastropoda; Lepetellida; Haliotidae
Exons: 3
Source: RefSeq, a predicted model, not a curated record